Molecule: ribosomal RNA, 419 nt
Filed under: Blastocystis sp. subtype 2
Lineage: Eukaryota; Bigyra; Opalinata; Blastocystidae
Description: SSU rRNA
Rfam family: Eukaryotic small subunit ribosomal RNA
Source: RNAcentral
GUAGGUAGCAACAAUAAAUCACAAUGCGAGACUUCUAGUCUUGCAAUUGGAUUGAGAACAACGUAAAACUCUUAUCGAUAAGCCAUUGGAGGGCAAGUCUGGUGCCAGCAGCCGCGGUAAUUCCAGCUCCAAUAGCGUAUAUUAACGUUGCAGCAGUUAAAAAGCUAGUAGAAGAAAAGAGGGAGUGUGUGAGAUGAUUGAUUCGAUUGAGAUCAGUACAACCUCCCCCUUCCAAAGUCAGUAUAGGGGUAUUCAUUUAUUUCAUUACUCCUUUGGUCGUUUACUGUGAGAAAAUUAGAGUGUUCAAAGCCGGCGUUUGUUUGAAUAGCUUAGCCAGGAAUAAUUCUUGAAGGCUUUUGUGUUGGAUUUGAUUGGUUUGGUCAUGGAAGCAAGGUUAAUAGGGACACGUUGGGGGUAUU